RNAcentral lists this long non-coding RNA (2963 nucleotides) under Setaria viridis. RNAcentral describes it as "long non-coding RNA (SVIR_LNC002532)". Lineage: Eukaryota; Viridiplantae; Streptophyta; Magnoliopsida; Poales; Poaceae. The record is from RNAcentral.
CACGGGAAACUUUGCCUCAAAACCACCAAAUUCACGAAGACUAACACAGGUAUGAGCAGGGUGCGAUAAUCGUGCCAAGAAAAAUACUAAUCUAACCCACAGACGAGCGGAUACACGGUCCAUAUUAUUCAAGACAAAUGGCUUCUUUGAUGGCACCCUCCUUGUAAUUAAACGAAAAGCCACUGCAGGGACGGUUCUCACUUGGCGCUGGCGAGCUGGGUGCGGAUGAGCUUGGCGGCAGAGACCAUGUUGGUUAGGGCGGGCUUGACCUCCGUGUACUUGCGGGUCUUGAGACCACAGUCAGGGUUCACCCAGAGGAUGUUGGUUUCGAGCACCGCAAGCAUCUUGUUGAUGCGGUCGGCAAUCUCCUCAGUGGAUGGGAUCCUGGGGGAGUGGAUGUCGUAGACACCAGGGCCAAUGCCGGCGCCGUACUUCACACCCUCACGGAAGACGGAGAGGAGCUUCUCAUCGGACCGUGAGUUCUCAAUGGUGAUCACAUCAGCGUCCAUGUUGAUGAUGGAGUGGAUGAUGUCGUUGAAGUUGGAGUAGCACAUGUGGGUGUGGAUCUGUCAAGAGAUAAAGUCAGUUGGAAAGUCAAAGGGCAUGGUAUGAAGAUAUGACACUGCAAGGCUCCACAGCACAGUUCGAAAGCAUACCUGGGUGGUGUCCUUGAUCUCGCAGUUGGUGAUUCUGAAAGAGUGAACAGCCCAGUCCAAGUAGAAAGCGUGCUCAGUCUUGCGGAGUGGCAGACCUUCUCUUAAAGCAGCCUCGUCAAUUUGGAUGACCUGCAAAGAAUAAUGAUGAAAUAAAUGAGCAACCAUAAACUGUGCAUAAACCUCUUGAUUAAAUGACAAACCAGAAUGUAAAAGUGCCAACCUGAAUACCAGCAGCCUCAAGAUCCUCAACCUCCUUCUUGAUUGCAAGAGCAAUCUGGUAGCAGGUCUCAAACCUGGAAGAUAUAAGCCAUAAGUCAGCCUCUAAACGGAAGAGGAAAAAAGAUGUUCUCGACAGCAUAAACUCCUGUCAAAAGUUACUGACCUUGGCUGGUCAUUCCUGACAAAGGACCAGUUAAGGAUUGUGACAGGACCAGUCAACAUUCCCUUCAUUGGGCGAGAUGUCAUGCUCUGGGCAGUGGUCGACCAGAAAACGGUCAUGGGGUUGGGGCGGCUCACAUCACCAUAGAUGAUCGGUGGCUUGACACACCUUGAUCCAUAGGAUUGCACCCAACCAUUGGCAGUGAAUGCAAAACCAGAGAGCUGCUCACCGAAGUACUCAACCAUAUCGUUUCUCUGUAAAACAUACGCCAACAGAAUUACUUAAAUGUGAGCACAGCAGCGCAGAAUAACUGAAUUUUUCUACAUAUGAGAUCAUAUUUAUUUUCUCAAACGCACAGCAAAAGCUAGCAGAAUAGCUUAAAGAGAACUGACCUCAGGCUCGCCAUGCACAAGCACAUCGAUGUCGAGCUCCUCUUGGAGCUUAACAACCUUGUUGAUUUCCUCCUUGAUGGCAGUGACAUACUCCUCCUCAGAGAUCCUGCAAUGCAUAUUUCCAAUAAGCAAAGCCGCCAACAUAGAGACAAGUGAAGCAUUAGAAUUAACUGUUACUCACUUCUUCGCCUUGUACUCACGGCGGACCCUCCUGAGCUCCACAGUCUGUGGGAACGAACCAAUUGUGGUUGUGGGAAGGACUGGAAGGUUCAGCUUCUUCUGCUGAGCAUCCAAUCUAGCACUAACGUUGGUAGCACGGCGGUGGUCAGAGCCCUUGAGAGCAGCAGCCUGUAACAGUAUAGAGAAAAAGGUUGGUGAGUGCCAACAUUGGAUUAGAAUGUGCAAGUAGAUUAGUCCCAGGUACUUACAGCCUUCUGAACUUCUUCAUUUGUCACACGGGGUGAUGACUUCCUUGACGCCUGAGCGGCAGCGUUUGCCGCAAAGUAAGCCUGUAGAUGACAUUUGCCAAAAUAAAUAGGGUCAGCAUAAUUUUGUAUGAAGAAGAAACCCUCAAGGUCCAGUUAAGAGAACAGAGAGAAAAAAACAGACAUACCUCAUCCUUUUGACCAGCCAAUGCUUUGGCAAGAGCAUCAACCUCAACCACCUUCUGAGCAGCAAAAGCAAGCCAAGACUUAAUUUCAGCAUCAAGCUUAGUCUCGUUCACAAGAUCCACAGCAGUGUGCAUGAGUGAGCAAGAAGUUGACACAACAAGCUUGUCUGAACAAAAUAGUAGGCAUUUAUCAGAUAUCGCCAGUUGUAACUAAAUCCAGCUUUAUGCCAGAGGAAAGCAUAUGCUUACCCUUUCCAACAACAGCCUCAAGGGACUGGAGAGUGCUGAGGGAUGCAGCAAGAUCAUCAGCCCAGAUGUUGCGCCCAUCCACAACACCAGCAAAGAGGUACUUGCCAGCCGGGAAACUACUCUUGACAAGAUCAAGAGUCUGGGCUCCACGAACAAGGUCAAAACCAUAAGCAGUAACACCGCUCAAAGAUGUAAGGGUCCUGCAUGCAAAAGGACAAUCAGUAUCCUGCCAAUACAAAAGGUGAUCAAGGAAAAAAGAAUAGUUGAGAAAAAGGUGCACUAGGAUUUAAUAACGUACUUGUAUGAUUCUGCGGGAACAUCAGCAAAGUAAGUCUCAAUAAGCACAUUCAAUCCAGAAAGGGCGGACUCAAGUUCUGUGUAUGCAGCGGAGAAUGCAGCCAAUUUUUGAGAAUCAAGGUCAAGGACAAGGGUGGGCUCAUCAAACUGAAUCCAUGAAGCACCAGCUGCCUUCAACUCAGCAAUGACCUCCCUACAACCAUCAUGCAUCAGUUUAUCAAUUUAAGACUUGAUGCCAGCAGUAAUUAGUAACUUGCUUAUAAUCUUAAUCUUACUUGUAGACAGGGAGGAUGCCACUAAGAAGGGAAAGAAGAGGGAAUCCCUUCUCCACACCCUUGGCAGCCUUCGAGAGCAACAAGUAUGAGACUGGUCCAGUAAGU